This 29-nucleotide ribosomal RNA is filed under the name Neophloeospora maculans. RNAcentral's name for it is "partial 18S ribisomal RNA". Lineage: Eukaryota; Fungi; Ascomycota; Dothideomycetes; Mycosphaerellales; Mycosphaerellaceae. The record is from RNAcentral.
CGUAGGUGAACCUGCGGAGGGAUCAUUAC